ACAGUGAUCUAUAUCUGUACAGUG
Molecule: non-coding RNA, 24 nt
Filed under: Arabidopsis thaliana (thale cress)
Lineage: Eukaryota; Viridiplantae; Streptophyta; Magnoliopsida; Brassicales; Brassicaceae
Source: RNAcentral